RNAcentral lists this ribosomal RNA (255 nucleotides) under uncultured bacterium. Its description in RNAcentral is "partial 16S ribosomal RNA". It matches the Rfam family "Bacterial small subunit ribosomal RNA", at positions 524 to 776 of the family's 1533-position model. The record is from RNAcentral.
GACGAACCGUGCGAACGUUAUUCGGAAUCACUGGGCUUAAAGCGCGUGUAGGCGGGACGGCACGUCGGUCGCUGAAAGCCCCCGGCUCAACCGGGGAACGGGCGCCGAUACGACCGGCCUGGAGGGACGUAGGGGGACCUGGAACUUCCGGUGGAGCGGUGAAAUGCGUUGAGAUCGGAAGGAACGCCCGUGGCGAAAGCGAGGUCCUGGACGUUUUCUGACGCUGAGACGCGAAAGCCAGGGAGAGCGAACGGG